GAAAUGCGAUAAGUAGUGUGAAUUGCAGAAUUCAGUGAAUCAUCGAAUCUUUGAACGCACAUUUCGCCCCUUGGUAUUCCAUGGGGCAUGCCUGUUCGAGCGUCAUUUGUACCUUCAAGCUUUGCUUGGUGUUGGGUGUUUGUCUCGCCUCUGCGCGCAGACUCGCCUCAAAACAAUUGGCAGCCGGCGUAUUGAUUUCGGAGCGCAGUACAUCUCGCGCUUUGCACUCAUAACGACGACGUCCAAAAAGUACAUUUUUUACACUCUUGACCUCGGAUCAGGUAGGGAUACCCGCUGAACUUAAGC
RNAcentral lists this unclassified non-coding RNA (306 nucleotides) under plant metagenome. RNAcentral's name for it is "partial contains 5.8S ribosomal RNA, internal transcribed spacer 2, and large subunit ribosomal RNA". The stretch from base 1 to 105 matches the Rfam family "5.8S ribosomal RNA", at positions 50 to 154 of the family's 154-position model. The record is from RNAcentral.